RNAcentral lists this non-coding RNA (787 nucleotides) under Biston panterinaria. Lineage: Eukaryota; Metazoa; Arthropoda; Insecta; Lepidoptera; Geometridae. The record is from RNAcentral.
AUAGAUAAAUUUUAUAUGGUUUAAUUAAAUUUAUUUUGUAUUUAUUUUACAUAUAAAUUUUAGUAUGAAUAAUUCUUUAUUUUAAUAAUAUUAAUUAUGUUUGUAGUAAUUAAUAUUAAGUAUUUAAGAAAUUAAGAUUUAGUAAUAUAUAAAUUAUUAACAAAUUUUGUGCCAGCAGUUGCGGUUAUACAAAAAUUAAAUUAAAUUUUUUUAGUAAUUAAUAAUUAAUUUAAAAGCUUGUUUAAAUUAAAAUUAAAAUUAUUAAGUGAAAUUUUAAUUUUAUAUUAUUUUAUUUUUAUUAGUAUGAUUUAAUAAAUUUUAUUAAUAAACUAGGAUUAGAUACCCUAUUAUUAAAAAUUUAAAUUUAUAAUACUAAAAUAGUAUGUAAUUUUAUUGAAACUUAAAUAUUUUGGCGGUAUUUUAGUUUAUUUAGAGGAAUCUGUUUAUUAAUUGAUAUUCCACGAAUAAAUUUACUUAAUUUAUUAUUUUGUAUAUCGUUGUUAAAAAAAUAUUUUUUAAUAAUUUAUAUAAUAUUUUAAUAUUAAUAUUUAAAAUUAAAUCAAAUCAAGAUGCAGAUUAUAAUUAAGAAUAUAAUGGAUUACAAUAAACUUAUUUAAAUGAAUUGUUAUUUUGUAAAAUUUAAUUGAAAGUGGAUUUAAAUGUAAUUUUGUUUAAUUUAAUAGAAUGAUUAAAAUUUAAAAUAUGUACAUAUUGCCCGUCGCUUUCAUAAAUAAAUUGGAAUAAGUCGUAACAAAGUAGAGGUACUGGAAAGUGUUUCUAGAAAGAU